Molecule: small nuclear RNA, 103 nt
Organism: Panthera pardus (leopard)
Lineage: Eukaryota; Metazoa; Chordata; Mammalia; Carnivora; Felidae
Source: Ensembl
GUGUUUGCUUCAGGAGCACAUCUACUAAAUUACCAAUACAGAGAGUAUUAGCAUGGCCCCUGUAAGGUGAGAUGAAGUUUGUGGAGAGUUGAAAACAAAACAA